This 450-nucleotide ribosomal RNA is filed under the name uncultured Glomeromycotina. Its description in RNAcentral is "SSU rRNA". It matches the Rfam family "Eukaryotic small subunit ribosomal RNA", at positions 569 to 1024 of the family's 1831-position model. Lineage: Eukaryota; Fungi; Glomeromycota. The record is from RNAcentral.
AGCAGCCGCGGUAAUUCCAGCUCCAAUAGCGUAUAUUAAAGUUGUUGCAGUUAAAAAGCUCGUAGUUGAAUUUCGGGGUUAGUAGGUCGGUCAUGCCUCAGGUAUGCACUGGUCUCACUGAUUCCUCCUUCCUGAUGAGCCGUAAUGCCAUUAAUUUGGUGUUGCGGGGAAUCUGGACUGUUACUUUGAAAAAUUAGAGUGUUUAAAGCAGGCUAACGCUUGAAUACAUUAGCAUGGAAUAAUGGAAUAGGACGUUCGAUCCUAUUUUGUUGGUUUCUAGGAUUGACGUAAUGAUUAAUAGGGAUAGUUGGGGGCAUUAGUAUUCAAUUGUCAGAGGUGAAAUUCUUGGAUUUAUUGAAGACUAACUACUGCGAAAGCAUUUGCCAAGGAUGUUUUCAUUAAUCAAGAACGAAAGUUAGGGGAUCGAAGACGAUCAGAUACCGUCGUAGU